CUACCUACGGGAGGCAGCAGUGGGGAAUAUUGCACAAUGGGGGGAACCCUGAUGCAGCGACGCCGCGUGGGUGAGGAAGUACUUCGGUAUGUAAAGCCCUAUCAGCAGGGAAGAAAAUGACGGUACCUGACUAAGAAGCCCCGGCUAACUACGUGCCAGCAGCCGCGGUAAUACGUAGGGGGCAAGCGUUAUCCGGAUUUACUGGGUGUAAAGGGAGCGUAGACGGCAGGGCAAGUCUGGAGUGAAAGCCCGGGGCCCAACCCCGGGACUGCUUUGGAAACUGCCAUGCUG
Molecule: ribosomal RNA, 291 nt
Filed under: uncultured bacterium
Lineage: Bacteria
Description: partial 16S ribosomal RNA
Rfam family: Bacterial small subunit ribosomal RNA
Source: RNAcentral